AUCCGGGUGAUGACGAGUCCCAUACAGGACGAAACGCGUGUCUUGGAU
This is a non-coding RNA of Schistosoma haematobium, 48 nucleotides long. NCBI's taxonomy places the organism in Eukaryota, Metazoa, Platyhelminthes, Trematoda, Strigeidida, Schistosomatidae. The record is from Rfam.